Molecule: long non-coding RNA, 2735 nt
Organism: Passer domesticus (house sparrow)
Lineage: Eukaryota; Metazoa; Chordata; Aves; Passeriformes; Passeridae
Exons: 3
Source: RefSeq, a predicted model, not a curated record
ACUAUGCUAGCUUUCAUCUCCAUGAAUAAUAAUUCUAAAUUUAGUCUUGAGUGUGUGAAGGCUUGUGGAGUUAAUAAAUUGCCUGUCAAAUCUCCUGUGAGAAUGGGAGGCAGACAGGAGGGAGCGAGGACUGAACUGGGAAUGGCCGUGCUGGGCCCUGAUGGAGCCCACGCCUCCGUGUCAGGGCACUGAAACCUGGGCCUCGCUUUCUCUGCUGGAACACUGACAAAUAAAUGCUGCUGUGACAGUUCUGGGCAGAAAAAUGCACCUUGGAUGUUGUCUUCAUUAGGUUCAAGCUGUUCAUGGCUCACCUGUCUGUGGUCUUACACAAACCCUUUGGCCUGUCUGAGUGGAUCCAUCCAUCCCAGAUAAUGCCAUGAAUCAGAGAGGGCCUCACCAAAAGCUGCAUCAGCCCUGCCUUUCUCCUUUGAGCUCUGCUUAAUGGUACAUCAAGUUUGUGUCAUCAUUGUGACAAUUUGCUUCCCGCAGUGUGAAUUCUGUGUCCUGGAAGGCCUGACUGCUGGCUGCGCUCUGAAAACAAGAGCCAUCUGCAGGUUGUCCAGCCUCCUCUUUCACCGUGAGAUCAGGGGUUUGUACACCUUUCCUGCUCUCCCCCAGGCUGAGGGAAUCACCCCUCGGCUUCUCCAAGGCUGAUCCAUAAACCCGGUGCCAUAAGGUCUUAGCACAACAAUGCCAAACACACAAAACUCCAGGAGAUUUUCUCUGUGAACAGAAGGAAGCUGCACACAAGGCCCUGUUAGAACUGGGGUUUGUGCAUCGCUUUAGGGACUAAAAUCUAAAUAAAGGAUAAAGGAACUUCAAAGUUUUUGUGCACUGAGAACCCGUGUGUGAAGACAAGGCUGGUCCCAGAGGUGUUCGGGUGCAUCCGUUUGUCUGCGAUGGAUCCCCACGGGGAGCAGAGGCCAGGGUGAUCCUGUGGGCUCCCUGCAGGGAUGGGGGAGGAUUUGGCAAGCUGAGGGUACUGAUGGGCUCCUGGAAUGUCUCACCAGCAAAAGCAGCAGUGGUGGUUGUUGUGGUGCUGAACUGGAGAGCUGGAAUGGAUGGCAGCUAUGCUGGAGCAAUAGGAACAGGAGGAGAAGAGCAGAGGCAAUGAGGAGGUGAAGGUGGCUGCCUCUGUUUUUUUGUUACAUCUGGGGAUUAAAAAUAAAACAUACCUCAAUUAUUAGAGCCACUGCAUAACAGCCCUUCAGCUCAACCCUGCCACAACACUGCAGUGUGCCUUUAAGGGACUAAUUUAGAAAGUUUGGGGAUUUAAGAAUCGUUUAGAAAUCCUCAGGGUUUCCUGAGGCAGCAGAAGUCUCCCAGGGCCCCAUCACUCAUGUCCUCCCCCUAAUUGGCCCCUCUGUCAGCUUAGCUUCCUCUGUUUUCCAAAUCCCCUCCAGAAUCUCAGGAUCACUGGCAAGGUAGGAGCAUCACAGAAGGUGUGCUUGUCCCCUUAAUUUAUGAAAAAUAAAAUUGUCACUUCUCUGCAACAUGAUAAGGGAGCUAAGAUGCAAGAGGUUAGAAAGGAAUUGAGGGCAUCCCCUGCCUUUUCCAGUCUGCUGCACUGAAGAGCUGGAAUCCAUUACCCAGCACACCUACAAUAUCUCACAUUCCCACACAGAUUAAUUUUAGGUUGGUCGGCUCAUUGCCUUUACACCUUGUGUGCAAGUGUAAAACUUGAUCUACAGUGUUUGAAUUUAAACAGUCUGUACUGCCAGUUUUUGCAACAGUGCUGAUAGGCACAGAGGAUUGUCAACAAACAGGCACAUUACUUUUAUUUCCAAUCCAAACACAGCAUCCUUCCUGAUUCCCUCCUCUUAACCCUUCAAUGUGAUGGUUUCUUUUUUUUUCUUCUUUUUUUUUUAAUUUUUUUUUAAUGGCAUGCUGCCAAUAUUAUGUGGAGAUUUGAUUUCUAUUUCAGACUCGAAAAGGGAAUUCCUGAGAUGCUGGAGAGGAGGAUGACUUAAAAACCCACAGGUGUAAGAUGAGACCAAGCCAUGACAAAUAGACAAUUCCUCCAAGUGGUUUCACCUUGGAUAACACUGGCACCCUCUCCAAAAAAUGAGGAUGGCUGUUCUUGGUGUGGACAGGGAUGCACAGAGGAGCAUCCUCCUUUUCUGGGGUAACACCACUGAGAUUUAUGCUGUUUAUGCUCCAGGUUAACAGCUGAUUUCUGUAGGGAAGCCAUGAAUUAAACAUCAUGCAAACAAUUAAACUCUGGGAAAUAGGAUUUCUGAUGGAGUGGUCAACAAUUAAAAAUGAAUGUGUUACUCUGCUCCAGGGAAAAGCAGUGAGAUGCCAUGCUUUCAUGCUAUGGGGAACAAACAUACUGUGUGACUCCAGAUGGAAAGUUCUGCAAAACACAAAGCAAAUAUGCCAUGAGUGGCAGAGACUUAAUCUGAGGCACUGCUACACAAAAGGCACAGGCAGCAGUUGUCAUUUCUGGAGCAGGGACACCACUGGGAGACACUCACUCCUCCCAGCAGCAACCUUCUAAAUUCCCCACCUGCACUUGCAAAUCCAGCUCUUAACAGCAUGGGCACCUUUACGAGCAAAUCCUGACUCAGGUCCACCAACUGUGAUGGGUUUGUCUGGAAAUUGCUGCUGGCAGCCCAACCAAAACACAGCCUCCCUUCAUGGACAAAGUCAACAGCUGGAAGACUGCUGCAAGGAGCAGCUUGUUCAGCUAAACACUCCAAAGAGUUAAUGUGUUUUCUUACAGCUCUCCCUGA